GCGGCGGCUCUUCAGAGCAUGUAAAUGAUGUAGGACAGGACCACCAGGCCGAUGAUGGCGAAAAACAUCAGGAUGAAAAUGUCCAGCAUGGCAGGCGAGGAGCCCAGGAGCUGCAGCCCAGGAGGAUCCCCGGGGAUGCCGGCGUGUCCCAGGCUCAGGGGAGAUGAAAACCCCAGCUCUGGAAGCUUCCCUGUCCCCUCCCCAGCUCUGGAAGCUUCCCCGUGUCCCAACCAAGCAGGAAAAGCGGCCGCAAUCAAAGCCAGCACAAUCAGCAGGCAGGAGGACACAAGGACAAAACCCCAAAAGAGCGACGGAUCCCAAGGAAAACACGUUCUAAGCUCAGCACUGAGACACAGCCAGG
Long non-coding RNA from Vidua chalybeata, 361 nucleotides. RefSeq lists it as uncharacterized. NCBI's taxonomy places the organism in Eukaryota, Metazoa, Chordata, Aves, Passeriformes, Viduidae. The record is from RefSeq and is a predicted model, not a curated record. The transcript has 3 exons.